AAGAAUUUGGCGGCGUUUUAAAUAAUUGGAGGAACCUGUUUCUUAAUUGAUAAUCCACAUCAUAUCUUACCUUAUUUUUGUUUGUAUAUCGUUGUUUUAAGAUAAUGUAUAUUAACUAUAAUCAAAAUUAAAAGUUUUUAAAAAAUCAAAUCAAGGUGCAGCUUAAUAUGGAUGAAAUGGGUUACAAUAUAAAUUAUAUAUUACGGAUUUAAUUGAAAAUUAAUUUGAAGGUGGAUUCAAAAGUAAUUUAAAAUUAAGAAGUUUAUUUGAAUAAUAAUUUAAUG
This 284-nucleotide ribosomal RNA is filed under the name Hormurus waigiensis (Australian rainforest scorpion). Its description in RNAcentral is "partial ribosomal RNA small subunit". The record is from RNAcentral. Lineage: Eukaryota; Metazoa; Arthropoda; Arachnida; Scorpiones; Hormuridae.